AGACAACAGGGAUUGCCUCAGUAACGGCGAGUGAAGCGGCAACAGCUCAAAUUUGAAAUCUGGCUCUGCCCGAGUUGUAAUUUGCAGAGGGUGCUUUGGAGUCGUCCCCGGUCUAAGUUCCUUGGAACAGGACGUCGCAGAGGGUGAGAAUCCCGUACGCGGCUGGGUGCCUUCUCCGUGUAUUGCCCCUUCGACGAGUCGAGUUGUUUGGGAAUGCAGCUCUAAAUGGGAGGUAAAUUUCUUCUAAAGCUAAAUAUCGGCCGGAGACCGAUAGCGCACAAGUAGAGUGAUCGAAAGAUGAAAAGCACUUUGAAAAGAGAGUUAAAAAGUACGUGAAAUUGUUGAAAGGGAAGCGUUUGCAGCCAGACUUGCCGGCAGUUGCUCAACCGGUCUUUGCCCGGUGCACUCUUCUGCCGGUAGGCCAGCAUCAGUUCGGGCGGUCGGAUAAAGGCUUGGGGAACGUGGCUCCUCGGAGUGUUAUAGCCCCUCGCACAAUACGGCCUGUCCGGACUGAGGUCAGCGAUCCAUGGAUGCUGGCGUAAUGGCUGCCAACGGCCCGUCUUGAAACACGGACCAAGGAGUCUAACAUCUAUGCGAGUGUUUGGGUGUCAAACCCGUACGCGUAAUGAAAGUGAACGGAGGUGGGAGCUUCGGCGCACCAUCGACCGAUCCUGAUGUCUUCGGAAGGAUUUGAGUAAGAGCAUAGCUGUUGGGACCCGAAAGAUGGUGAACUAUGCCUGAAUAGGGUGAAGCCAGAGGAAACUCUGGUGGAGGCUCGCAGCGGUUCUGACGUGCAAAUCGAUCGUCAAAUUUGGGUAUAGGGGCGAAAGACUAAUCGAACCAUCUAGUAGCUGGUUCCUGCCGAAGUCUCCCUCUCAGGGAUA
RNAcentral lists this ribosomal RNA (884 nucleotides) under Rhizodiscina lignyota. RNAcentral describes it as "partial large subunit ribosomal RNA". It matches the Rfam family "Eukaryotic large subunit ribosomal RNA", at positions 63 to 980 of the family's 3401-position model. Lineage: Eukaryota; Fungi; Ascomycota; Dothideomycetes; Aulographales; Rhizodiscinaceae. The record is from RNAcentral.